GUAGGGUGAACCUGCGGAAGGAUCAUUACCGAGUGCGGGCCCCUCGGGGCCCAACCUCCCACCCGUGUUGCCCGAACCUAUGUUGCCUCGGCGGGCCCCGCGCCCGCCGACGGCCCCCCUGAACGCUGUCUGAAGUUGCAGUCUGAGACCUAUAACGAAAUUAGUUAAAACUUUCAACAACGGAUCUCUUGGUUCCGGCAUCGAUGAAGAACGCAGCGAAAUGCGAUAACUAAUGUGAAUUGCAGAAUUCAGUGAAUCAUCGAGUCUUUGAACGCACAUUGCGCCCUCUGGUAUUCCGGAGGGCAUGCCUGUCCGAGCGUCAUUGCUGCCCUCAAGCCCGGCUUGUGUGUUGGGCCCCGUCCCCCCCGCCGGGGGGACGGGCCCGAAAGGCAGCGGCGGCACCGCGUCCGGUCCUCGAGCGUAUGGGGCUUCGUCACCCGCUCUAGUAGGCCCGGCCGGCGCCAGCCGACCCCCAACCUUUAAUUAUCUCAGGUUGACCUCGGAUCAGGUAGGGAUACCCGCUGAACUUAAGCAUAUCAAUAAGGCGGAGGA
Molecule: ribosomal RNA, 552 nt
Filed under: Penicillium griseofulvum
Lineage: Eukaryota; Fungi; Ascomycota; Eurotiomycetes; Eurotiales; Aspergillaceae
Description: eukaryotic LSU rRNA
Rfam family: 5.8S ribosomal RNA (bases 169-322)
Source: RNAcentral